AGUAGAACUGCUUAAACGAAUCUUGGAAAUGCAUCAACUAAAAGAAAAAUCAGUAUCCUUAGGAUACAUUGCCCACACAGGAUCUGGAGUUGAGGGAGACGAUUGGCAUAGCUAAGAUCCUAGAAGGGCUCUAUUGCUUGGAAAUCGACAGUUCAAAGACUCAAAGUUACCUUGCUAUGAGGACUUCAUCUAUUUUUUCCGGUUCUUCAAAUAAAGAUCUGUUGUUAUGGCACUAUAGGUUAGGCCACCCAAAUUUCCAUUACAUGUUGAAACUCUUUCCUGAAUUCAAUAAAGAAACUUUAUCUUGUGAAA
Long non-coding RNA from Neltuma alba, 312 nucleotides. RefSeq lists it as uncharacterized. The transcript is spliced from 3 exons. NCBI's taxonomy places the organism in Eukaryota, Viridiplantae, Streptophyta, Magnoliopsida, Fabales, Fabaceae. The record is from RefSeq and is a predicted model, not a curated record.